UAUUCGUUGGUGUAAAGUGCACAAAAAGUUUUGAUCUUUUAGGGAAUGGUGUGAUUCCAUUACGUGUAA
This 69-nucleotide transfer RNA is filed under the name Myomenippe fornasinii. Its description in RNAcentral is "tRNA-Gln". Lineage: Eukaryota; Metazoa; Arthropoda; Malacostraca; Decapoda; Menippidae. The record is from RNAcentral.